RNAcentral lists this ribosomal RNA (207 nucleotides) under uncultured bacterium. RNAcentral describes it as "partial 16S ribosomal RNA". It matches the Rfam family "Bacterial small subunit ribosomal RNA", at positions 568 to 774 of the family's 1533-position model. The record is from RNAcentral.
CUCGUAGGCGGCUUGUCGCGUCUGCUGUGAAAACCCGGAGCUCAACUCCGGGCCUGCAGUGGGUACGGGCAGGCUAGAGUGCGGUAGGGGAGAUUGGAAUUCCUGGUGUAGCGGUGGAAUGCGCAGAUAUCAGGAGGAACACCGAUGGCGAAGGCAGAUCUCUGGGCCGCUACUGACGUUGAGGAGCGAAAGCAUGGGGAGCGAACA